CCGGUCGGCCUAUGGAACCACCGUUGUGUGCUCCGUGCAUUACGUCGAAGGCAAAUACGCCCUCUAAUCGGUGUGUGCUUGCACGCAUCGGUGGCGCUUGAUAGAAAUUCAAGCGUUGACGCUGAACCUAACGAGAAAUCGAUGAUCUGCCGAGAAUGAUGACGAAUCGUGAAAGCGAUGAUGACCCGGUGAGCCCCAAAUCGUGAAAGCGUUAGGCGAAAGCGUCCGCAUUAAGUUGGUUGCGUCUGCUGGCUCCAACCCGGGUGUAGAUUAUUAAUCUUUUGAUAGUCUCAAGCUCGCGAUGACGAUUUUCGAGUGAUUAUCUUCCUGGAUCGUUGUCAAUCGGGCUUGCUUGGUUCACAAGCUCGUGAUGGGUACCGUCUCUUGUUGGUUCCGUUGCUGCCUGGUCUUGCUUAUAUAUAUGUGCGUKCYNGGACUUGUUUCUCAUGCCUCGUUAGCGAUUUGAAUCCAUCGCUUUGAAUGGGCUCGUUUCUUUAGGUGACUUGAUUUGAUGAUGAUGUUACUGUGCGUUGAUUAAGUUCUGCUUUCGAUCAAUGGCCUGUGCGUUGAUUAAGCUUUGCUUUUGAUCAAAUGCCACAGCUUCGGAGUCGUUUGGUCUUUGUUGCGUGAGCAACAUGAGUGACGGGUUCCUUCUACGUGGAUAUAUAUAAGCAAGCGAUGAUGCAACGGUGCUUACCUGUGACAGUACCCCAUGGACCCUUCCUGAUGGACCCUUCCUGAUGACGGUUUACAUUCUUGAUUUUCCCAUCGUUCGGGGCAUUCUGGGGCUGUUUUGGCUAUUGGUUGCUUGUUUGGUCUUGAGCCGAAUGGGUGGCUUCUAGCCUGGUGGCUUCGGGGAUGUUGACCGUAAAGGUGGAUGAGUGGUGUUUGGUUUGUUACGUGUGGUUGGCUGCGGCGUUUGCAACAACUUCCAUGCUUUCAGACCUCUUCAUUUGUGCGGCAAGGCUUGUAUCGCCUUGAGCGUAUUGUGGGUUUGCUGUGUUGAAUACCUAAUCAAUGGUAUCGGUUGGAUUGAUCAAUGUUUCAUUUCGUCUGUCGUCGCACUCGCGGCGUGAGAUGAACCUUGAUGCGGUCUCUUUGAUCCACCUCAUUGAAGCACAUGCUUUGAUGUUGUGGCGCAUUGAGCAUUGCUUGGUCUCUUGCAUACAGAACAUGUAGUGGGCAUGAAUCUAACGAUUCUUGUUUGCCUUUAUAUUAGCGUAACGCUUCUCUUACACGACUUGCUCU
RNAcentral lists this unclassified non-coding RNA (1248 nucleotides) under Artemisia californica. RNAcentral's name for it is "partial external transcribed spacer". The record is from RNAcentral. Lineage: Eukaryota; Viridiplantae; Streptophyta; Magnoliopsida; Asterales; Asteraceae.